This 71-nucleotide transfer RNA is filed under the name Stereum hirsutum FP-91666 SS1. RNAcentral describes it as "tRNA-Phe (GAA) (tRNA-Phe-GAA-3-1)". It matches the Rfam family "tRNA". Rfam says of the family: Transfer RNA (tRNA) molecules are approximately 80 nucleotides in length. Lineage: Eukaryota; Fungi; Basidiomycota; Agaricomycetes; Russulales; Stereaceae. The record is from RNAcentral.
CCUCCGGUAGCUCAGCGGUAGAGCAGGGAUGGAAAAUCUCCCCGUCGUUGGUUCGAAUCCAGCCUGGAGGU